Trematomus bernacchii (emerald rockcod) is the source of this 1277-nucleotide long non-coding RNA. RefSeq lists it as uncharacterized. Lineage: Eukaryota; Metazoa; Chordata; Actinopteri; Perciformes; Nototheniidae. The record is from RefSeq and is a predicted model, not a curated record. The transcript is spliced from 2 exons.
CCCCCCCAAAAAAAUGAUUAUAGUUAUAUAAGUUUCCCUCCCACUCCCUCCAUCCUCUCCACCAUCAGCAGGGGUGUUGUCAUAGCAACCCCCACCCCUCCUCUUGAACGUCAGCGGCAGGAGCUCGGAGGAUGAAGCCGCAUGCAGCUCCUGUCUCUUGUGCCUCUCACAGAGCAUCACCUGUGAUUUGACUCGUCUCACAUGCAACAGUCAGAGCUGCGGCGCCGGAUAUUAUCUGAUGACUGAUUUGACUCGCGGCUGCUGCUCAUCACAUACCAUCUAAAGACCGAGAGCAGCUGAUUCAGCAGCGUCUGCAGCAGUGAUGUCGUGGCUCUUCUUGGACUGGUUCGUGCCCCUCUACCUGCUGGUGUCUGUCCUGGUGCUGGCGGGCUUCGGAGCGUGCCUUUACUUCCUCGAGCCCGGGCUGCAGGAAGCCCACAAGUGGAGCAACAAAACAGUCCGGCAUCACCCGCUGGUGGCCAGUGUGAACUGCAUGGAUGACGAUAGCAAUGCCCUGAUAUGAUCAAGAGGGCCAUCUGGACAGCAGGGUGCUGCCAGGACACCGUGGGAUGGGAGCCAACACCUUAAAGAUGGAGAGAGAAAGAGGUGGAGGAGAGUUGCUCUGUCUAAUCAUUCCAACUUUUCUCUGAUCUCUAACAUCCUUAAUGUAGAGUUCAGGGGAAAGUGAAGCAGAGAGGAAAUGCACAAGGUGGAGGAGACUUUAUGCAGGAUGAGAUUUUGGAGGUGAAUGGGAGACAUGAUGCCCUUUAGAAAUGUGACGAUGUAAAUUCCACGCCAUCUUAUACUUGUGCCAACUUUUACAUACGUUUUGUAAUUUGACAAUCACUUUACAUGAAUCAUGAAGUUUACUUGCUAUAUUGUGCAUUUGAUAAGUGAAGGGAAUGAUAUAAGUGCAAUGAGUUUGAUGGCAGCAGGAAGGGUUUCUCACCCUCUCUCUGGUGAUGGUGGCACAGCAGCUGCUGAGAAGCAUGAGGAUUGUUAGAGCCAACAUGCCAAAAUAGUUUUAGGGGUAACUUUAUUAUAAUAAUAUGUAUUGAAUAAUUGAUGACUGAUUAUAUUCAAGGUGCCAAGAUUAUCCUGGAUGGACCAAGAUUAUAGAAAAGUACUAUUUGGCAGUGCUCAAAGUGUAUUACUUGUGUCUUCAUUGUGUUUACUUGACAGCAUGGUGAGGAAACGUUGGGUAUGUAACGACCCUCUUUUAAAUGAUCAUAUGCUUCCUUUAUUCAUGCUUAAUAAAAUGGUUAAAUCUUCAAUUA